RNAcentral lists this ribosomal RNA (410 nucleotides) under uncultured bacterium. Its description in RNAcentral is "bacterial SSU rRNA". It matches the Rfam family "Bacterial small subunit ribosomal RNA", at positions 355 to 775 of the family's 1533-position model. The record is from RNAcentral.
UCGAGGAUCUUCGGCAAUGGGCGCAAGCCUGACCGAGCGACGCCGCGUGGAUGAUGAAGGCCUUCGGGUUGUAAAAUCCUGUCGAGGGGGAUAAAGGCGCAAGCUUGAUAUAUCCCUGGAGGAAGCACGGGCUAAGUUCGUGCCAGCAGCCGCGGUAAGACGAACCGUGCAAACGUUGUUCGGAAUCACUGGGCUUAAAGGGCGCGUAGGCGGCUUGCAUAGUCGGUGGUGAAAUCCUGCAGCUUAACUGUAGAAGUGCCUCCGAUACUAGCAAGCUCGAGGGAGGUAGGGGUCUGCGGAACUUCUGGUGGAGCGGUGAAAUGCGUUGAUAUCAGAAGGAACGCCGGUGGCGAAAGCGGCGGACUGGACCUCUUCUGACGCUGAGGCGCGAAAGCUAGGGGAGCAAACGG